Molecule: long non-coding RNA, 1148 nt
Organism: Onychostruthus taczanowskii (white-rumped snowfinch)
Lineage: Eukaryota; Metazoa; Chordata; Aves; Passeriformes; Passeridae
Exons: 5
Source: RefSeq, a predicted model, not a curated record
CCUCAACCCCCUUUUGACGUUGCUGGAUCCUCCCAGACAUUUUGAAGUGUUCACAUGUCAUACAGAUACUGGGCAGGAUAUCAUCUUGUCCUCUAACAUCACACUGAUGAUCAGAAACACAAAGUAAAGAGCAAACAUGCUUGAUUGGGUGACCUGUAGUUGCUAGAAUUUGUGGUUUAUUAAAUUAAGUCUCUGGAAUGACAUUACACUGCAGCUGGGGCUCCUGUCCCACUCCCUGCAGCAGUAACAGCCCUUCAACUAUGAAAAGACUCCAGACAUGGAAAAAUGGACCCAGGGACUCUGGCCCAGAGGAAAUCUGUAGCUCAGUUAAUGACUCCAGGAGCAGAAGGAAGGUGGAUUCUUACCGAGUUUCUGACAUCAGGCAGAGUGCUCCAGAGAGGAAAGACAAUGGGAAAGAGGAAAAGAUUCUGAAGAUUUUAUUAAAACCAUCCAAGGAUGUAAAGCUUUGCUUCUCAGGUUUCUCCCCCAGCUCCCCCCUCCCUCCAUAGAGCACAGCAUUCUCCAGGGACCUGAUACUCUUCAGGGCUUCUGAGAAAUGACCAGGAUGUGCUGCCAGACUUUAAUCCCUGAUCGUUUGGGUCUGCCAAAGAGCAUCAGCUGUCUGCAGUGCCCUGAUUUCCCUCCUGCACUGUUCCAUGGCCAUUUCCAGUCCAUCCCUGCAGCUCUCCCUGCCCUGCCUCACUAACAGCUCCUCUGGGGAUGGCUGCUCCUGCCUGCGUGCAUCCAUCGAUUCCUGCUGCAUUACACCAGCCAUCUGUGCCCAGAAACAGCACAAAAUUUGUGUUACACCCCAGGGUUUCCUCGCCUGCCCUUGGGCUUUGCGUGCUGGGAAGACAGGAAGACCUCAGGGAACAAGUCCUACUCCUGCUACUGUCAGAAACAUCUUUCACCAGCUGGGAUUUCCACUGAGCACUGGAAUGGUUGGACUGAGAUGAAACCAUCAUGGAGUACCAGAAUGGUUUGGGUUGGAAGGGAUCUUAAAGGCCAUCCAGUCCUACCCCUCUGCCAUGGGCAUGGACACCUUCCACUAUCCCAGGCUGCUCCAAGCCCCAUCCAUCCUGGCCUUGGACACUUCCAGGGAUCAUGGGGCAGUCACAACUUCUCUAGGCACAGUGUUCCAGAGCUUC